UACGUAGGGCGCAAGCGUUGUCCGGAAUUAUUGGGCGUAAAGAGCUCGUAGGCGGCUUGUCACGUCGGGUGUGAAAGCCCGGGGCUUAACCCCGGGUCUGCAUUCGAUACGGGCAGGCUAGAGUGUGGUAGGGGAGAACGGAAUUCCUGGUGUAGCGGUGAAAUGCGCAGAUAUCAGGAGGAACACCGGUGGCGAAGGCGGUUCUCUGGGCCUGUACUGACGCUGAGGAACGAAAGCGUGGGGAGCGAACAGG
This 253-nucleotide ribosomal RNA is filed under the name uncultured bacterium. RNAcentral describes it as "partial 16S ribosomal RNA". It matches the Rfam family "Bacterial small subunit ribosomal RNA", at positions 524 to 776 of the family's 1533-position model. The record is from RNAcentral.